RNAcentral lists this ribosomal RNA (498 nucleotides) under uncultured bacterium. RNAcentral's name for it is "partial 16S ribosomal RNA". It matches the Rfam family "Bacterial small subunit ribosomal RNA", at positions 30 to 523 of the family's 1533-position model. The record is from RNAcentral.
AUUGAACGCUGGCGGCAUGCCUUACACAUGCAAGUCGAACGGUAACAGGUCUUCGGAUGCUGACGAGUGGCGAACGGGUGAGUAAUACAUCGGAACGUGCCUAGUAGUGGGGGAUAACUACUCGAAAGAGUGGCUAAUACCGCAUGAGAUCUACGGAUGAAAGCAGGGGAUCGCAAGACCUUGUGCUACUAGAGCGGCCGAUGGCAGAUUAGGUAGUUGGUGGGAUAAAAGCUUACCAAGCCGACGAUCUGUAGCUGGUCUGAGAGGACGAUCAGCGACACUGGGACUGAGACACGGCCCAGACGCGUACGGGAGGAAGCAGUGGGGAAUUUUGGACAAUGGGCGCAAGCCUGAUCCAGCAAUGCCGCGUGCAGGAUGAAGGCCUUCGGGUUGUAAACUGCUUUUGUACGGAACGAAAAGCCCUGGGUUAAUACCCUGGGGUCAUGACGGUACCGUAAGAAUAAGCACCGGCUAACUACGUGCCAGCCGCCGCAGUAA